This is a long non-coding RNA of Rattus norvegicus (Norway rat), 7353 nucleotides long. RefSeq lists it as uncharacterized. The record is from RefSeq and is a predicted model, not a curated record. Lineage: Eukaryota; Metazoa; Chordata; Mammalia; Rodentia; Muridae.
AGUGCUCCACUCUCUUGGUUAGUGCUCCACUCUCUUGGUUAGUGCUCCACUCUCUCGGUUAGUGCUCCACUCUUGCUCUCGGUUAGUGCUCCACUCUCGCUCUCGGUUAGUGCUCCACUCUCGCUCUCGGUUAGUGCUCCACUCUCUUGGUUAGUGCUCCAUUCUCUCGGUUAGUGCUCCACUCUCGCUCUCAGUCAGUGCUCCACUCUUGCUCUUGGUUAGUGCUCCACUCUUGCUCUUGGUUAGUGCUCCACCCUCUCAGUCAGUGCUCCACUCUCACUCUUAGUUAGUGCUCCACUCUUGCUCUUGGUUAGUGCUCCACUCUCGCUCUCGGUUAGUGCUCCACUCUCGCUCUCGGUUAGUGCUCCACUCUCUUGGUUAGUGCUCCAUUCUCUCGGUUAGUGCUCCACUCUCACUCUCAGUCAAUGCUCCACUCUUGCUCUUGGUUAGUGCUCCACUCUUGCUCUUGGUUAGUGCUCCACCCUCUCAGUCAGUGCUCCACUCUCACUCUUAGUUAGUGCUCCACUCUUGCUCUUGGUUAGUGCUCCACUCUCACUCUUAGUUAGUGCUCCACUCUUGCUCUUGGUUAGUGCUCCACUCUCGCUCUUGGUUAGUGCUCCACUCUCGCUCUUGGUUAGUGCUCCACUCUCACUCUUGGUUAGUGCUCCACUCUUGCUCUCGGUUAGUGUUCCCCUGGGUUUGCCUUCAAAGCUCCUUGCAUCUCAAGUCUAGACACUGUCCUGGAGAGCGGGUUUCUUCCCUUUGCUUUAACUGUCCCUUCCCUACAGUGAGUCAGAGGCUUCCUUCCCCAGACCCGUGUCUCCCUCGGGCUUCAAAACUUUGCCUUCUAGCUUGAACCAAAUCUUUUCCUCACUAAAGGCAUCACCACCAAACCUUUCUCCUAAGCUCGGUGUUCCUCUUUUCAUCUGGUUUCAGGUGGGCCAUAGUAUCUAUGUGCUUCCGUUGUCUUCCUCACACAUGUUGUGGGCUGGGUUGGCAGAACAGUUGCUUUCACCACACUGUCCCUGGCCUUAGAAGUCACUAGUGAUGAGCUGCUGGGCCAUGGAUACUGGACACUGGGAGCACCCAUCAGGCUCUGUGUUUGAUACCCAGGACCACCACAAAGCCUUCCUGUUUUUCAGUAGGCUAUUGCUGAAUCCCAGCUUCACCUCCACAGCCUCUGGCCUUUACAGAGAAACCUUCAUCUCAUCACCCAGAUAAAGUAUAUUCCAACCCAGGGCAGUUACUCCUUCAACACGCCGAUGUCUUUGCCUUUCUUGCCUCCUUUAGCACUGGGUCCCUCCCUUCUUUAAAGCACUUAGCCCUCUCCUCUUUGUCUCCCCUUUGUAAAACUCAUUCCUAUUCUUGCCCAUUGGUUUUAGACAGACUUCUAUCUACAAAGCUGCCAUUCCUAUGCUAGCCAGAGUUCCUGCCCACCCCUACACCCUCUGUCUUGUAUAUGUUCCCAAGGCCUAGUCACAUACCUGGCUCUCCUGUUCCAUUAAACUCCUGUACUGGUCUAGCCACAUCUCAUCCACUCUCGAAGCCCUAAACUGCCUUGCCCAGUUGCUGACAUUUAAUAUAUGCCGGCCACCAUUCCCUGCAUUUAUGUUGGUAGUGGGAAUUGAACUCUGGUCUUCAUGCUUGCGAGGGAAGCACUCGUGCCACCGGUGUUCAACUAGCGGACAGAGAAUACAUAUCCAAUGAGGUCAUCUCCAACAGCUUCUCUCCUUCUUCCCAUGCUAGGAUUUGGUUACUAAGGCUCACAAGUGGAACACAGAAACAAAUGGGAAAUUCUUCUGAUGGAACUUUGUGGAACACCGGGGAGGUAGGAAGAAGACAUUUCAUAGGACUCACACUACAGGCCUAGCAUAUUUGGGGGACAGCUGAAUGAAGGGAACGGGAAGUAGUAUUCCUUAGCACCAUGGAAAACUGUUACAGUUGCCCAUUAAGAAAGAAAAGGCUCGGGCUGGAGAGAUGACUCAGCCGUUAAAGGCUAGGCUCACAACCAAAUAUAUAAGAAAGAAAAGGCUCGUGGUGCUAGUCUGCAUUCCUGAGUUGGCUAGGGAAUAGUGUAUGUGGAACACAGGUGAUCUUGAGGGUCCCUAUGCCUUCUGGUUAAGCCCAAGAGAAAAGCACAACAGUACAAUUACAGGCUCAGGAAUGGCUUGGACUUUUCAGAGAUGCGGGCUUGGGUCACCUCCACCAAAUGAUCCCCAAAGAAGGCAUUUGUGGAGAGUCAAAAGUAUACACAAUGGGUAGAGGUAGGAAUAUGUGAUUACCAGUGGUGACCAUCUGACCGGUUGCAGAACCCAUGAUUCUAGCUGCCCUUCCUUCUUUUGCUGUACGUAUAUCCGUGUGUGCGAACACAGUAAAGGUCCCCGCUUCUUCCACCCCCUGUUUUCAUGAGAUGCACUGACUGUAUCAGAGCCUACACCUGAGCAUUGCUCAGUUCCCACCAUUGUUCUUCACACCCAGGGACUCGGGCUUGAGGCUAACACCUGCCAGUCAACACGUCUUCUGGGGUAGAGCGUAGUCCAUUUCUAGCUGUGUGUUCACUGCAGCUUGGAAGCACAGGGAAGCAGAGUGACAGCCACGCCACUCUCUUCGUUUGAAAAGUGCUCGAAAGGGAUCCUCAGAGUGAGAAGAAGCAGGCUUGGAGUUGUUGGUUUCAUUUGUUAAUGUGACUGGAGGACAGAUAGUGCCCAAAUAGUUGGGCAAGCAUUAUUCUGAGUGUGUCUAUGAAGUGUCUGGAGACGACUGGAGCAUCUAAAUCUCCCUCCCUGCCGUAAUUUACAUAAAGAGUGCCCAGCGCAGCCAACCUUUAAAGGAUGGUCGUCAGAUCAUUGAAAGCGUGCCUGCCAGAGUCCCAGCUUCUCUUCCUCCAUGUCCUAGUGGUGAUGAGCAACUGUCUCUACUUCCGUUCCUGUCCUCGUGUUCUGCUGGUCACAGUAUCCAGUGCAUCAGAGUCAGCCAUCCAAGCACCGAAACCUCCAAAACCAUGAGACAAACGUACCAUUCCUUCCUGUAAGUUGAUUCACUCCAGGUCUUUGUUAGAGUAACGAGAAACUGGCGCACUCUCUAAUACACACCCUCCUCAUCCACAGAACCAAAAGCUGACCCUCCAAAAGAAGACCAUGUUCCUCCAGUCUGACCACCUUUGUGCUGCGAUAUCACUCAUUUCCUAGUGCCUGGCUCAGAUGGAAAUGUUAGCUUUCCUUGGAUCUGGAACCUAUUAGUUUUCGGACUUAAACUGCACCGUCAGCUUCUUCCAAAGUCUCUAGCCUGCUGUCUCUUUUGCCAAAGAACUCUGACUAAGACUGGAACCAACAUUCCUUUUCAAUGAAAUAUAAACAGUCAUUAUUAACCUUUAGGUGAGAAGAAGACAUUAAGCUGAAAGACAGGGAGUGGGCAUCCUGUGUAAGGUCUUCAGACGUGUACUGUAAUGGCCGUUCCUGGUUGUCAACUUGACUGCAUCUGGAAUGAACUACCGCCCAGAAUUGGAGGCUCACCUGUGAUCCAGAUCUCGAGGCUGGAAGACACAGGCUUCUGACCUGGAUCUUGACAUAGAGAUCUUGAGGCAUAGUGGCCAUGAAAAUCUUAGGCCUGAGCAAGGAAGUAUAUGCCUUUAAUCCCAGGAGACUAAGGCAAAGAAACUUUUGAGUUCAAGUCAGCCAAAAAGCAAGUCCCACAUCUAGGCUUGGUGGUGCACACCUUCAACCUGGGCCACGCCUUCUGCUGGAGGCCUACAUAAGGACAUUGGAAGGAGGAGGACUCACUCUUCUUUGCUGCUUGCACUAACUGGCCAGCACAUCUGUUGAACCUACUUCUUCAGAAGUCCAGCUGAAACACCCAGCCUCGUGGGACUGAGUAACUACUGGAUUCUUGGAUUUCCAUUCACAGCUGACCAUUGUUGGACUGCAGACUAUAAGUCAUCACAAUAAUUUCCCUCAAUAUAGAGACAUUCCAUAUGUUCUGUGACUGCAGAGAACCUUGGCUAAGGCAUGAGCUCACUAUGAUGUGUCUGGGGAAUGAGUGGUACACACACACCAGAAUCUACUUCAACUAGGUGUCUGUCUGUAGUCGCACCUCUAGGAAAUCUUAUGCGUGAACUAGAAGUAUGUAAAAAUAAAGAUACCUCUUGUUCCAGCUGAACUCCUAAGACCCAUAAGCAGAGAUUUCAAUUAAUGAAGUCUGACGUGAAGAAGGUCUCCCAUUGCUUUUUUUUCUCCCCACUGUCAGGCCUUCAGGGGCCUCAGCCUAGUGAUGGCUCAGUUGGCUAAGUGUUUACCAUGCAGGUAUGAAGACCUUAGUCCAGACCCCCAGAACUAACUUAGAAAAAUCUGGGCGUGGUGAACUGUGCUAUCACAGUGUAGGAGGGUGGAGACAUGGUGAUUCCUGGGGUUCAGUGUCUGCCCAGCCUGACAGCUUAUGUGGUUCCAAGCAAGUGGGAGACCUUGUCUCUAAGGCAUGGGAAACACGCUUUUAAAUCCAACAGAAGCAGGCAGAUCUCUAUGAGUUUGAGGCCAGCCUGGAUUACACAGCAGUUCCAGGACAGCCAGGGCUACUCUAUGGCUUUUUGUCUGUCUGUCUAUCUGUUUUUAAGUUGAUAGUGUCUCAGAAAGACCCCUGAGGCUGACUGCUGUUCACCUUGCAGUUCUCUGUGCUGAGACCUCUGCACUGUGCACACACAUGGCCCCCACACACGAGCCUUCAGUUAGAUGUCUCUAGUUGUCUUCAGAAGGAAAUUGGCCCAGGUCACCUGAGUCACUUCUGUCACUGUUGUGGGAACCAGCUUUCCCUUGACGGUCCAGGGGAUGCUCCCCUGGCCCUGCCACCGUUGCAUUCUGGGAAGAACUUGAAAUUCAUUGCUCCUGUGUGUGUGUGUGUGUGUGUGUGUGUGUGUGUGUGUGUGUGUGUGUGUGUAAAUGACUAUUAUACAAUGGUAUCCAGAAAAGAAGUUAUGCUUAAUGUUAGUGUUUUGUUUUCAUUUUUUUUUUUAACAAAUUACUUGGCUUUUCUAAAGCUGCGGGUAGGAUAAGUGUUUCAUGAGAUUUCAAUUUACAAAAGGCUUAGAUUUCAAAAGACUACAAUGUUGCUUUCAAGUUCAGAGCAGUUAAACAAGGAGCCAUUGUCUUCUCUUUUAUGGGAAGUUAAGUAAGGAAAACCGUCUGACGGUUUGGCUGUGACUCAUCCCUCUCUGCGACACUGGAGUCCUCCGGCUUUCUUUUUAUUUAAAAAAAAAUGUAUCUCUCCUUUUAUUUCCACUGUAAUUGUACACAGUGAACACUAGAUGGUCAAAGGUCAUGAGAUGGACAGGUGCAGAAUGGGCCUUUAUCCUAAUGUCUCGAGGCCAUGGAGCCAGCAGGCAAGAGGAUCUGAAUUCAAGGCACAUACCUCACAUUAAAAAGAAAAGGCAGGUGUGGUAGGUGUGUGCAAGCCCAACGAGGAUUGGUGGAGAGGGGCAGGUACCUGGCUCACUGUCCAGCCUCCCCAGCUUAGCUGUCAAGCUUUAGGCUAUGAGAGACCCAGCCUCACACACCAAAGCAGGUAGAGUUAGGGGACUAACACCUAGGGUGACCCCCCACCUUUAAGAACAUACCUGUGCACACUCACAUCCCCACAUGCAAGUGCAUACCUGUGUGCGCUCAUGUUCUCAGAUCUCUUUCCUUAGUUGAAAUAGCUAUAAAUUGAUAGGAACCGACAAAGGUAAUAUAGCCUGAUGUACCCUCAACCGGCUUCCCCUAAUGACAGCCUUCACAUAAGCAGAUAUUCAAGUAGGUGGCAGCCCUCGAUGAGUCUUUGUGAUUGCUGCAUGCACCCCUCUCUUAGAUUGUGUGUGUGUGUGUGUGUGUGUGUGCACAUGUGUGAAAGUGUAUGUUUAUGUGUGUGUAUGUGUGUAUGUGAGAGAGUGUGUGUGUAUGUGUGUGUUUGUGCAUGCAUGUGUGUAUGUGGGAGUGUGUGUGUAUACGUGUGAAUGUGUGUGUUUGUGUGUACACAUGUGUGUAUGUGUGUGAGAGUGUGUGAGUGUGUGUAUGUGUGUGAAAGUAUGUGUGUAUAUGUGUGUGAGAGUGUGUGAGUGUGUGUAUGUGUAUAUGUGUGUGAAAGUAUGUAUGUAUAUGUGUGUGUGUGAGAGAGAGUGUGUGUAUAUGUGAGAUUGUGUGUAUGUAUAUGAGUGUGUGUGAGUGUGUGUAUAUACGUGUGUAUAUGUGUGUUUGUGUGCAUAUGUGUGUGAAUGUGUGUAUGUGUGUGAGUGUGUAUGUGUGUGAGUGUGUGUUGUAUGUGUGUGUGUGUGUAUACACUACCUAGAGUAGAUUUGGACAGCCCCCAGCAUGUCUUUCACACUGCAUCAUCAUGGAGGAGCCUUCAUGUUUCUGUCUUAGAUCUGCACACCACCAUCUUUGUUUCAUUGCUACCACCAAUCACUGCAUCUCAACCACUCUGUCCUUGUAAGGAUGCCUGCCCUGCAGAAAUGGAACCCAACAGUAUAUGUCUAGUGAGGUGUGUUGUUUUCAGUAGACAACACGUCCCUGAGUCCCAGCAGAAGUGAUAUUUCAAUUUAUUUUACAUCUUUCCUUCUACUUUCCACUUUGGAAGCUUUUCUUUUCUUUUUUUUUCAUUUUCUUUUUCAUAGAAUGAAAGUUUUAGACCCUAGGAAUAUCAUAAGUAAUGAAAAACCAUAAGCAGCUCUAAUGGCGUGUUUCUAAUGGCCUACUACUAGACCCUCCUGCUCAGAGUCAGUUACAAUAGAUCGCCCCUCCCCAACAUCCCUUUUUCUAUCUGAACAGCUUAGAUCAGGUCAUCUGAAGGCCAUGGAGAUAAGCCUAAUCCAAUAAGGACUAAGUCACAAGCUGAUUCCACGAAACUCGAACGAUUGGCUUUGCUUGAGGCAAUGAUUGUGUCACUCCCCAAUCACUAAGAAUCAUGGGAUGGAUAACUUUGUAAUCACAUGCAUAUACCUGGCAUCUACAUUUAAACAGAAUUUUUUCCACUCUUAGCUCAAGUUGAUGACUUCCAAGAUAAGAAUUGAAUUCGUUGACUGUAAAUCGUUUCCGUCUCUUCUUCAUCUUCUCCUCGUUGAAGUGUGGUAUAGAAGCUGGUGCAUGGGGAGCUUGGCACAGCUCGUUCUGUUCUCAUGAGCAGCCUGGAUUUCCACUUAACGCUCUCUGGUGGAGAACCAAGGUCCUGGAGAGCAAGCCCGUCCAUGACUGUUGAGGUGUUUGACGCAGAAACGAAGGCAUCGGAACUGCUUGCGUCAGCUUCGUGUUUUUAUAAUCGUUUGGAUAUUUUCAUCUGGAUGGGCUUGUGUGGGUCCUAAUUGUAGAGACCUCUUAAAUAAAGGCAUCAAGAGUC